Helianthus annuus (common sunflower) is the source of this 1239-nucleotide RNA transcript. RefSeq lists it as uncharacterized. The transcript has 8 exons. The record is from RefSeq and is a predicted model, not a curated record. NCBI's taxonomy places the organism in Eukaryota, Viridiplantae, Streptophyta, Magnoliopsida, Asterales, Asteraceae.
AGAAUUGCUAGGGUUGAAUUGCCACCAUAUUUGUGACCAUGAAAUUUUGAGCGUGAUUAUUUUUAUUUAUGGCGCCAUAUUUUAUCCACAAUUAAUUCACCUAACCGGCCUCUCCACUAAUUAGGGUUUUGACUGAAUAUUAUUCACCCUUAUACAUCAUUCCAUCAAAGCUUGAAUCAAAGAACGAACUUCUGCAGAAGUUGCUGUUGCGCGAUUGACGUUCGGUUUAUACUUCUGAUUGACAGAUUUAGUAAUCAAGGGACUGCUACCCGGACUAUUUCAUCAAAUUUAAUAAGUUUGUGGUCCGGUCCAUGGGACAGCUGGAGAGAUGUUCCUAAUGAGCACAGGACACGAUUGUUUGAGCGAUCCCAGAUGUAUUAUCAAUGGGAGGAUAAAAACAAUGCACAAAUUGAUAGGUGCUGGGAGAAGUGCAUUGCUGAUCUGAGAUAUGGAAACAAAUGCUUGACCAUUGGAACACACCUAAGAGGAAAGCAAAGUCUUUAAGAAACAAAGACAUUAGAAGUAGGGCAACCGGCGGCAAACAUACACUAGGAUCUCAAUCCUAUGUGACCAUGAAAAGAAAAGCGAAAAGGAAACUUGGGCGUGAAUUGACAGUUCGUGAAGCGUGGAAGCAAGCACACUUCAGGAAACGAAGUCGACCAUUGGAUAAAGAUCUAAGUUGUAGCAGUUCACUACUUUUGGAUGUUGAUUCUGAAGGGGACGCUCAAGAAGAAAAUCUUGUAUGGGUUGAUGCUAGGGCAGAGGAGACUUGGGUUAAAUAUGAAGGUUUUCUUGAGGAGAAGUAUGGGAAAGAACGUAAUAAACAUCCAAAUUUUGACAAAGACUUGUGGUCACGAGCUGAGGGCAAGAAGAAAGGAAAAGUGUAGGGGUUAGGCAAUGAUAGUGACCCGUGUGUACAUAGCAGAGAAGACCCUGAGAUUGAAAAGUUAAACUUAGUUUUCAAGGAGCUCGUUAAGGAAAAAGAUGAAGAAAUAGAAAGGUUCAAUGGAAUUAUUGCGGGGUUGUUGGCUGACAAAGAAAAAGAUAAGGUGGAUAAAGAUGCGUUGCUUGAUAGGAUGUCACAAAUUGAAGAUAUGUUAACAGUUACAGUUCGAAGAUAGGCUAUAAACACUUGGUUUUGAAUGUUUAGAUGUUUAUCUUAUUAGGAUAAUUUUAAUUGGUUUAUAUUUUAGUUGGUAUUUUUUAUAUGCUUUUGAAAACAAGAUGUUUUAUAUAAUU